This 216-nucleotide ribosomal RNA is filed under the name Campeiostachys nutans. RNAcentral describes it as "Elymus nutans partial small subunit ribosomal RNA". The stretch from base 54 to 216 matches the Rfam family "Eukaryotic small subunit ribosomal RNA", at positions 701 to 864 of the family's 1831-position model. Lineage: Eukaryota; Viridiplantae; Streptophyta; Magnoliopsida; Poales; Poaceae. The record is from RNAcentral.
GGGUUAGUAGGUUGGUCAUGCCUCUGGUAUGUACUGGUCUCACUGAUUCCUCCUUCUGAGGAACUUUCAUGCCAUUUAUUUGGUGUGAUGGGAAAUCAGGACUGUUACUUUGAAAAAAUUAGAGUGUUUAAAGCAGACUAUCGUCUGAAUACAUUAGCAUGGAAUAAUGAAAUAGGACGGACUGAUUCUAUUUCGUUGGUUUCUAGGAUCACCGUA